Long non-coding RNA from Pomacea canaliculata, 342 nucleotides. RefSeq lists it as uncharacterized. Lineage: Eukaryota; Metazoa; Mollusca; Gastropoda; Architaenioglossa; Ampullariidae. The record is from RefSeq and is a predicted model, not a curated record. The transcript has 3 exons.
CAAGGACUUAUCCGAUUUUAAAAAAAAAAAAAAAGUACAGUUGCCCGAAUCCCCAAAACGAUGGUUGUCAAGCAGCUUCUCGAUUGCUAACAGAUCAUACACGAAAACUGGAAUUCCACUCACACUUGAAGUUUCAGUCAGUGCCACAAAAGCAAUCUCUGAUGGAUGCUGCACAUGUGCUAAUGGCCAGAGUGGGCACUGUGGACAUAUUGUGGGCUUGCUGUACCAGCUUGCUCAUUUUAAGAUAACAGGAACAAACUAAAUUCCUGAGGUCAUCUUGACAAUGAAGAGGGAUGAUCUGAGACUAUUUUUAGGAUGCUGCAAAAAACAUCACUGCCCAGA